GACGAACGCUGGCGGCGUGCUUAACACAUGCAAGUCGAACGGAAAGGCCCUGCUUUUGUGGGGUGCUCGAGUGGCGAACGGGUGAGUAACACGUGAGUAACCUGCCCUUGACUUUGGGAUAACUUCAGGAAACUGGGGCUAAUACCGGAUAGGAGCUCCUGCUGCAUGGUGGGGGUUGGAAAGUUUCGGCGGUUGGGGAUGGAAUCGCGGCUUAUCAGCUUGUUGGUGGGUAGUGGCUUACCAAGGCUUUGACGGGUAGCCGGCCUGAGAGGGUGACCGGCCACAUUGGGACUGAGAUACGGCCCAGACGCCUACGGGAGGCAGCAGUGGGGAAUAUUGCACAAUGGGCGGAAGCCUGAUGCAGCAACGCCGCGUGCGGGAUGACGGCCUUCGGGUUGUAAACCGCUUUCGCCUGUGACGAAGCGUGAGUGACGGUAAUGGGUAAAGAAGCACCGGCUAACUACGUG
This 467-nucleotide ribosomal RNA is filed under the name uncultured bacterium. RNAcentral describes it as "partial 16S ribosomal RNA". It matches the Rfam family "Bacterial small subunit ribosomal RNA", at positions 28 to 507 of the family's 1533-position model. The record is from RNAcentral.